RNAcentral lists this ribosomal RNA (497 nucleotides) under uncultured bacterium. Its description in RNAcentral is "partial 16S ribosomal RNA". It matches the Rfam family "Bacterial small subunit ribosomal RNA", at positions 28 to 507 of the family's 1533-position model. The record is from RNAcentral.
GAUGAACGCUGGCGGCGUGCCUAAUACAUGCAAGUCGAGCGAACAGACGAGGAGCUUGCUCCUCUGACGUUAGCGGCGGACGGGUGAGUAACACGUGGAUAACCUACCUAUAAGACUGGGAUAACUUCGGGAAACCGGAGCUAAUACCGGAUAAUAUAUUGAACCGCAUGGUUCAAUAGUGAAAGACGGUUUUGCUGUCACUUAUAGAUGGAUCCGCGCCGCAUUAGCUAGUUGGUAAGGUAACGGCUUACCAAGGCAACGAUGCGUAGCCGACCUGAGAGAGGGAUCGCCCACACUGGAACUGAGACACGGUCCAGACUCCUACGGGAGGCGGCAGUAGGGAAUCUUCGGCAAUGGGCGAAAGCCUGACGGAGCAACGCCGCGUGAGUGAUGAAGGUCUUCGGAUCGUAAAACUCUGUUAUUAGGGAGGAACAAAUGUGUAAGUAACUAUGCACGUCUUGACGGUACCUAAUCAGAAAGCCACGGCUAACUACGUG